Molecule: transfer RNA, 76 nt
Filed under: Chthoniobacter sp.
Lineage: Bacteria; Pseudomonadati; Verrucomicrobiota; Spartobacteria; Chthoniobacterales; Chthoniobacteraceae
Description: tRNA-Met
Rfam family: tRNA
About the family: Transfer RNA (tRNA) molecules are approximately 80 nucleotides in length. Their secondary structure includes four short double-helical elements and three loops (D, anti-codon, and T loops). Further hydrogen bonds mediate the characteristic L-shaped molecular structure. tRNAs have two regions of fundamental functional importance: the anti-codon, which is responsible for specific mRNA codon recognition, and the 3' end, to which the tRNAs corresponding amino acid is attached (by aminoacyl-tRNA synthetases). tRNAs cope with the degeneracy of the genetic code in two manners: having more than one tRNA (with a specific anti-codon) for a particular amino acid; and 'wobble' base-pairing, i.e. permitting non-standard base-pairing at the 3rd anti-codon position.
Source: RNAcentral
CGCGGGGGAGCCAGGUGGGAAGGCAGCGGCCUCAUAAGCCGUUUACGAGCGGGUUCGAUUCCCGCCCCCGCUACCA